Anas platyrhynchos (mallard) is the source of this 3142-nucleotide non-coding RNA. NCBI's taxonomy places the organism in Eukaryota, Metazoa, Chordata, Aves, Anseriformes, Anatidae. The record is from RefSeq and is a predicted model, not a curated record.
AUGAAAUGUUUGAUUUUAGGAAAGAAGAAAACCCUUCUAGAGGUGUUAAAGUAAUCUGAUUCUUUACCAGUCAUGUAAACAAGCAGGUGAGCCAUUUAUGCCUGCAGGUCUCUCUGCAGUGAUGGGUGGUAGCUAGUUAAAUACCUGAAUUCUUUUGUUGUGACCAGCUGCAUCAGGGCAGCUAUUUAUUUCUGUUUGUGUCUGUGCCAGGGAUAUACGCUGCAGUUGCAUCCUGCUGCCUGAUCUGCAUUGCUGUAUCUUUGGCAGAAAUACCCAGCAUAUAUCAUACAGGAUGCAGGGAGAGACUGAACAAUUCUAAACCUUGGAUAGCCAUCCAGAGCAUCUUGCUGUAUGGCUGGAUGGGACAGGAAAGAACAGAAAAUCUCAAGCCUCCAGCAACAACUGGAAGUAGACAUCGUUGGAGACUGGACCCUGGGUUACAGAACCACCCUGUGCCUGCUGCAGUGCAUCUGUGGUCCCACAGGUCAGUGUCUGUGCAGAAACAGAGGAGCGUUGCACAGCAAAGCUCCUGAUGCUCCUGACACUCAUGCUGACUGCCCAGAAAAAAUCAUCUUACACGCUAAUUACAUUACAGUGAUUUAUGUGCCCUGGCAUCCAAAAGUGGUCAGAGCUUGUGGAAAGGACUUUUUUAAAAAAACUUUUCAUAAUGAAAAGAGCACAUUCUUCCUAAUUACUAGUGAAGCCACUGCUCCUACUAAGUACUAAUAUAGGCAUUUCUUCUGCAGCCCUCCAGGGUGAGGCUUUGUUUUCUCAAGUUAUCUGCAUUAUGAGCAAGAAACAAGCUGUAGACCACACUGCAAUUCCCAGCAGUGCUGAGCUUUUACUUCCAAGUGAAGUACCUGAAGUGCUCCUGACCUCUGGAAGUUGCCUUCUGGCUGAUAACUAAUUAUAUUAUCUGGCUGAUAUUAAUUAGUUAUUACAACAAUUAUUAUAAUAUUUAUAUUAGUCAUUAACAUGUUAAUUGUAAUAAUUAUUCUAAGUUAUUAUUGUAACUAAUUAUUAUUAUCUGGAUGAUAAUAAGAUUUCUGAUCUGUUUCUGCAGGGCUCUGUCCUGGCAGGAUACUCUCCCCUCUCCUUGUAUAUACGCUCUCCCAGAGCAUCUCCAAGUACCACUUGGGUGUCAUAAAUUUUCAUUAUGCAUGUAAGAGAAAUAUAUAAGAGAAGGUAGGUAUGUUUGGAAAGAAAACAUGACUGCUUUAGCCCUCCACUGCAGCACUACAGAACAGGAAAGGACCAACAGGAUAGCCGAGUGAAACCACAGCCGUAAUUGUAGUGGAGUGGUUUCAUAAAGAACUGCUAUAUUUAUGAUUACGAGUGCAUAAGAGCUCUUACAGAAACUGUUCUCUAACCAUUUUGUCUCUCUUAGCACUUUGGAAGGGUGAGGCUAAAUUUGUGUUUUAAAAAUUGCACCAAAAACGAUUGGAUUAUAUUACAGAGUGAUGUACUGUAUCGUGUUCUCUGCUAGUCCUAAAUUGACUGAAAGCCUCUUUAAGCUGUCAGACUCCUAAGACAGUAUCAAAGACACUGUAAAAGAAUCAGGAUUUUUUUAGGAAAAGAGUUGCUAUAUAAAGAUUUUUUUCUGAGUGUUUUUGUGAGAGGGGCAACCCCAUUGACUGGAAUUCCUGUGCUCCAAAAGCAGUGCACAACAUAUGCCAAGAACUGUGGCAAUGAUAAAAGCAGCGUAAGAACACCACGAGGCACUGAAAGCCUGGAAAUUCUGUUUUUGAAAGGAAACGUGGUGGAAACUGGAAAAAGCUUUACAGGAAAGUGGCGUUGCUAUCCUGAUACUGUGUCCUGCCUGGAAGAAGAAAUUAUCUCAAAGCAAACACCCAGAGACCAUCACACAAAGGAACAAACAAACCAAACCAAACCAAAAAAAAAAACUCCUUUUCACAGAAGCACUGAAAUUAAAGCAGAGAAAGCUUAAUUUCCAUAGGCAGAGCAGGGCUGCAGAGAGCAGCGUUACACUUCUUUGCUUCCAUAUUAGUUCAUUAGAGGGGUCUGCGACAUCUGGCCCGCACGCCCUGACCCUACUGGUGAUGAAUGGAUUUAAUCUCUGGCAUGUGACACUGGCGUUCGUGAUUCCUGCAGGUUAAUUGAUUUCUUUUGGCAAAGCACAGCUCCAAGUCCCGUUGUCUGAGCAGCACGACUGACUGCAGAGAGAAAAUAAGGCGUCUUGAAAAAGAAAUUCUCCCAUACCCAGCAAAUAACAGGUAGGAUAUGAGAGAGGCUUGGCCAGGCAGGCAGUUAUCGUUGCCAAAGGUGCGCGGUGCCAAGUGCAGAUGGCCUGUCAGAUAGCUGGGAGAUGGACACUGGGUUUGAGUCCAGCACGGAGCUCUAAGCUGCUAAUAGCAAAAUACUCACUUGUCUUCUCUCACAGGCAGACAUGCAGCUAAUAACAAAUCCUUCUCUGUAAAUUCUUCCAAGAAGACCACCAAACCCUGUCAGCAAGAGCAGACGGGACCCAGUCGACAGCACAGACACCACGCACAUGGCAGGCAGAGAAGCCUUACUCAGCAGCUGCCAACCUUAUUAAAGAUACUGCCUUACUGUUCAGCAGUGUGUCAAGCCGGAAUUAAGCUGCAGUCUCCAGAAAUCUGAUGGUAGGAUGACAGAGUAUUUUUAACAUGGGAGUGGGCAUAUCCAGAAAGAAUGCAGAAGUCAUUCGAGAGAGAUUGCUUUGUUAGCCAUUGUUUAUGACAACUGGGACAGAUCGCAACGGUAGGAUCAGGAACUGAGUAAUGUAAAAUUCAGAAAUGAGGGUGAAUCGGACCAGGAAAGAGAAGGAUGCUGAAAAAGAGAGUACAGCAAAAGCAGGUCUGAUGCCUGCAUAACUAAGGUUCUUCACUAAGUGGACCAGUGACUGGUUUGGGAGCUGGCAUGCUUUGGGAGGAACAGAGUACAACCAAAUCUGCUCAGGCUAGACAACAACAGACAAAAAUAAACACAUUUAUUCAGGAUAAAAGAGAGCUGUAGGUUGUGAUCUCUCUACUACUUACUACCCUAUCACCAAAUUGUGUUUUUGGCUCCCAGCUGCAAUAAAAGUCACCCUGAGCACCUAGUAACUUCUGCUCAUCUUGCCAUGUCCCCAAGGGAUCAGCACUGCUUAGACUUGUGUGUA